CGUUGAUCUCAGGGCGCAUCUUGAAUGGUCAAGAUGCCAAGGCCGGGGCCUGGCCCUGGCAGGUCAGCGUGCAGAGAAACCGCUCCCACAUCUGCGGCGGUUCGCUCAUCUCCGAGAGCUGGGUGGUGUCAGCAGCUCAUUGCUUCAAGCUACCUGUAGUCAAUUCAGCAUAUCGGGUGUAGCUGGGUGAAAACAGGAUUGUCGGUGAGACUCCAACCCAGACGUUCUCAUCGGUGAAGCGGAUCGUCCUCCAUCCCAAUUACAACAGUAGCACUUUCCUUGCCGACAUCGCUCUGGUGGAGCUGGAGAAGCCAAUUGCCUUCACGGCCUCCAUCAGCCCCGUGUGUCUGCUCGACGCCUCCGUCCCUGUGCCUGCUGGGAACGCCUGCUGGGUGAACAUUCACCCCGAAGUGAAUUUUUCCCUAGCGGCGACCCUGCAGGAAGUGGAGGUGCCCACCGUAGACACCACGAUCUGCAACGAUCGCUUCCGAGUAGGAUUACAAAAGCCUGUGGGUGACAAUCCCAUCAAAGAAGA
Long non-coding RNA from Mauremys reevesii (Reeves's turtle), 535 nucleotides. RefSeq lists it as uncharacterized. The transcript is spliced from 3 exons. Lineage: Eukaryota; Metazoa; Chordata; Testudines; Geoemydidae. The record is from RefSeq and is a predicted model, not a curated record.